GCUCCGGUAGUAUAGCCCGGCCAAACCCAACAAAAGGGGGGCCAAAUAUGCCGGCCUCUCGAGCCGGUGACCCGGGUUCAAAUCCCGGCCGGAGCA
Molecule: transfer RNA, 96 nt
Filed under: Nitrososphaeria archaeon
Lineage: Archaea; Thermoproteati; Nitrososphaerota; Nitrososphaeria
Description: tRNA-Glu
Rfam family: tRNA
About the family: Transfer RNA (tRNA) molecules are approximately 80 nucleotides in length. Their secondary structure includes four short double-helical elements and three loops (D, anti-codon, and T loops).
Source: RNAcentral